Molecule: ribosomal RNA, 253 nt
Filed under: uncultured bacterium
Lineage: Bacteria
Description: partial 16S ribosomal RNA
Rfam family: Bacterial small subunit ribosomal RNA
Source: RNAcentral
UACGUAGGCAGCAAGCGUUGUUCGGAAUUACUGGGCGUAAAGGGUGCGUAGGCGGUGCCGUAAGUUUGGUGUGAAAUCUCCCGGCUUAACUGGGAGGGUGCGCCGAAGACUGCGAUGCUGGAGUAUGGGAGAGGAAAGCGGAAUUCCUGGUGUAGCGGUGAAAUGCGUAGAUAUCAGGAGGAACACCUGCGGUGUAGGCGGCUUUCUGGACCAUUACUGACGCUGAGGCACGAAAGCGUGGGUAGCAAACAGG